GCCUCUGCGCGGCGCUCGCCCGGGACUGGGACGCAGAGCCGCGGACGGCUUUGGGGACGCCAGGGCUCCGGACUUCCCCGGCGGCGCCUCACGGGCGGCAAUCGCCCGCGAGCCUUGGGGCGCGGCACCCAGGGCCUCCCCACCGGGCUCCGAGGGACGCAGCGGCCUCGCCACCGCAUUAGGCCGAAUCCGGUGCCUUCUAGAAAUGGCCUCCUGCAGCUCCAGAGCGCCUGCAGGAUAUUAUCAGCCAAGCUAGAACACAAGGCAGCCCACCAACCCAGCACAGAUUUGAACAGGCAGCUGAGGAGAGAGCCUGGGAUGCCAGCUCUGAAGUGUUCACCGCUAGAAGUGUUCCCUUGUCAAAGAAAGAAGCCAUCCCUUGUCAGUAGAUGGUCAGGAGUUCAAGACCAGCCUGGGCAACAUGGUGAAACCCCGUCUUUACAAAAAAAUACAAACAUUAGCCAGG
This is a long non-coding RNA of Homo sapiens (human), 466 nucleotides long. Ensembl annotates it as long intergenic non-protein coding RNA 1381. The record is from Ensembl. Lineage: Eukaryota; Metazoa; Chordata; Mammalia; Primates; Hominidae.